GAAAUGCGAUAAGUAAUGUGAAUUGCAGAAUUCAGUGAAUCAUCGAAUCUUUGAACGCACCUUGCGCUCCUUGGUAUUCCUUGGAGCAUGCCUGUUUGAGUAUCAUGAAAUCUUCAAAGUAAAUCUUUUGUUAACUCAAUUGGUUUCUACUUUGGUAUUGGAGGUCUUUGCAGCUUCACACCUGCUCCUCUUUGUUCAUUAGCUGGAUCUCAGUGUUAUGCUUGGUUCCACUCGGCGUGAUAAGUUAUCUAUCGCUGAGGACACUGUAAAAGGUGGCCAAGGUAAAUGCAGAUGAAACGCUUCUAAUAGUCCAUUGACUUGGACAAUACUUUUAUGAUCUGAUCUCAAAUCAGGUAGGACUACCCGCUGAACUUAAGC
Molecule: unclassified non-coding RNA, 378 nt
Filed under: plant metagenome
Description: partial contains 5.8S ribosomal RNA, internal transcribed spacer 2, and large subunit ribosomal RNA
Rfam family: 5.8S ribosomal RNA (bases 1-105)
Source: RNAcentral